Panicum virgatum (switchgrass) is the source of this 4249-nucleotide long non-coding RNA. RefSeq lists it as uncharacterized. NCBI's taxonomy places the organism in Eukaryota, Viridiplantae, Streptophyta, Magnoliopsida, Poales, Poaceae. The transcript is spliced from 2 exons. The record is from RefSeq and is a predicted model, not a curated record.
UCCCCGUCCGGCAGUCCCCGUCUCGUCCCACGCAGACGCCUCUCUCGCUGCCUCUUCUCUCCCUUCCGAGUCCCCGAGCUCUCGCGGCGGCGCGCAAUCCCCACCGCCGGCUCGUCCACCGAUCCUCGCGAGUCAUCAACCCCGUCCCGGCGCGGCCACCGCCCGGUCCAGGAAAAACCUUCUUGGCGAGGCCAAUCAAGUUGUGCUUGGUUGAUAACCAACGGAGCAUUGGUGUAACGGUUGGUUGACUUCGAAUCGUGCUGAUUAGAAGCUGGAUUGACAACUUCACACACUCCACCAAUCGAAUUUACCUCUACCUCUCGGAAGAUCAGGUCUAGUCCUCAUCAAGUGGUAUCAGGAUUCAGGUUUACCGUGAGGUAUAAUUUUGUGUUUCCCUUUAGAUUCAUCUUGUUCCUUUACCUACAGUCCACAAAAAGCCCCAAUUUUUUUUACACUUUUCGCUGUCCCAUAACCUGUUUUAGCCUCUGCAAUUUUCGUUUCAGUUUCGCUUAGUUGAGUUCGUGUCCGUGGCCGAGUCUUGUUGCUAGUUUAGUAUGUUCGUAGUCGUAGUCAACCGUCCGUCGCUGUUUUUGUUUCCGCCGCCGUCCUAUCCACCUUUACCCCACCAACAAGUCGAGCCCUCACGCUACUUGACUUGCCCUCGCUAGCCGCGCUUGUGUGAACUUUCGCCGCGCAAGCUCUAGAUAGGUCGCAAGCCGCCUUGUGUUUUCGCCUUGCAUCGCAGCCCUUCUUGAUUUCAUCUGGCGAUACCCUUGCUGCAUACACCAGGGACGCUUUGCCCUAGGUUGUUCGAUUGCUGAUAAGUUUUGCUCAGCCGUGGUUCUGUGUUGGAGAAUAGGGAAAUUAUGCCCUAGCCGCCGUCAUCCAAUCUGCCAAGUUGUGCUCUCUGAAAACCAUAACUUGAGGUAUCAUCGGUAAAACGGGCAUAACUUUUCGCUCGGUGCUCCGUUUUGGCUCAAUUUUUUACAGUAGAAAGGUGAUGAAAUUUUGCACAUACGAUAAAAUCGCCUUACCAUUUGGGGCCGAUAUCAGAAAUUCAAAAAAAACUUCACAAACAUCGAGUUUUGAGGGUCCGAAGUUGUUUUCGGAUUUUCAAGAAACGUUCCUGAUUUUGUGUAGGCCACAUCCCACCUCUAUUUAAGGUGAAUUUUUUUUGGUUCCAUCUCUUGUGAUCCUUGUUCAGAGAAAAAUAUAAAAAAAAUAAUUGAGAAAAUAAGAAAUCUUGAUUCCUACUAGUGCUGGAGGGAAAUCGGCAAAAAGAAUAAAAACAAUCGUGCAAGUGCUGUUUUGCUUGUUCUUUGAGCUUUAUCCAUCGUUCUUUGUUCCCACUUGUUGUGCUACGCCUAGGAACAUAUCUUAGCCAGCAAUUGUGACUUGUGACUUGGAUACUUAUUGAAUUUUGCUACACUGUUGCGUUUAUUGCUAAUCCCUUGCUACCAUAUUGUGGCUGUCCAAGCUACACAUAUUUUUCUGAUCAGCACAGGUUCAUCUUGUAACUGUUACACCCAGUUCGACAACAGAUUGUACCAUCCUGUUUGGCUUUGGUAAGAAUACUUGCAAGACGGUGGUAAGCCGUUUGAGAUUUUGCACUCCACUGUCACCACCACCCAGUACCUUUUAGUUGAUAGGGAUAAUAUUUUGGUGUAGUCUUUUGCUAUCUGCUAAUUAUGCCAGGGACAAGAGGAGAGUCACCUACGGACUUCAACGAGUGUGUGUCAAAGAAUGAACUGCAGAAACUUGUUGAUGACCAGCGCACCUACAUCGACGGGAAGUUUGAUGAGCUGAUGCGCACUAUCAACGGCCUGGUUACCAGGUUGAACAUGUUGAACAACGUCCCCCUCCACGGCGACACCGACGCCAACCUUAUGAGGAUGACGACGACGAGGAUGAGGAUGCCGACCUUGAUGCUGAUGCUCGUGCUGCGGACCGUCUUCAGCGCAAUCGUCAAGGUAUGGGAGGUAAUCAAAAUCGUGGUAACAAUGAUUCUUUUGCUAAAGCCAAAUUUACCAUGAUUCUUUUUGCUGGCACUGCUGAUCCUCAGGCUUAUUUAGAUUGGGAACUUGCUGUUGAACAAAAAUUUAAUUUUCAUUUGGUUCCUGCUGAGCAUAGAGUUAGACUUGCUACUAAUGAAUUUACUAGCUUUGCUUUGUUUUGGUGGAAUGAUAUUUGCAAUGCUGGUAAUGCUGCUUCUGUGCCUCAAACUUGGUCUGUUUUGAAACAACGCAUGAAGUCUCGUUUUGUUCCUCCUUAUUACCAGCGUGAUCUACGUUUAAAAUUACAAAAUUUAAAACAAGGUGAUAAAGGAGCAGAGGAAUAUUAUCAGGAAUUGUUUAUUGGUCUAGCACGUUGUGGUAUUCAUGAGGAUGAUGACACUAGUGCUAGGUUCUUUGGUGGUUUAAAUCAUGAUAUACAAGAUAUUCUUGAUUACAAAGAUUGGACUCGUUUUUCCCAAUUGUAUCAUCUUGCUCCUAAGGCAGAACGGGAAGUACAGGGAUGCCGCAUUGUCCAACAUUUUUUCAGGUCCAACACUGGGAGAUCGUUUCAGUAGCGUUCCGACGUUGAGAAGCCCAAGGCGCCUGUUGCUAAGCCAUCAGCAACACCACCAGCUCCUACGCCAGCUUCUGAGGUAAGCAAUGUAUCUACUGUGCAGGCCCAACAACACAAGAAGCAUGCUACGCUUGAAAAGGGGUCUUCGAGUAGAUCAUCUACAAACAUCAUGUGCCAUCGCUGCAAGGGAAUGGGACAUGUCAUGAAGGAUUGUCUAAGUGCUCGUGCUUUCAUUGCUGCACCUGAUGGUAAUGGAUAUGUAAGUGCUAGUGAUAUUGAGGAUGAUUUGGUCCUUGCAGCUAACAUUGUUGCAGAUUCGGAGGAAGAUGAGGGUGAGGCAAUUGAUUCCACAGCUGCAACGGCGGAUUUUCCUAGUGUUCUUGUGCAGCGUGUGUUGACUUCUAAAGCAGAACAUGUGGAUAAGGAGAAGCUCCAACGCAAGAAUUUGUUCCACAUGUUUCUCAUUGUGCAGGAUUGUCGUGUUCUCACCAUAAUUGAUAGCGGAAGUUGCAGCAACUUGGUGAGUUCAGAUUUAGUCAAGAAUCUUGGCUUGACUACUCGUUCUAUCCCUCACCCCUACUACCUAGAAUGGUUCAACAAUUGUGGUAAGACUAAGGUAACUAAAUCAGCACGCAUACACUUUUCUGUUGGUUCUUAUCGUGACUAUGCUGAUUUUGAUGUUGUACCUAUGCAAUCAUCAUCAUUAUUGUUAGGACGGCCAUGGAAAUUUGAUACUGAUGCUGCAAUCCAUGGUAGAACUAAUACAUAUACUCUCAUGCAUAAGGACAAAAAAUUAUUUUGCUUCCUUUAUCGCCGGCUGAUAUUAGGAAACACUUUAAAGGCCUUGCUGAAAAUGUUAGCAAUGAAUCUUUUGAUGCUAAACCAAAUGGAAUUAAAUUGAAAGAAGGAGUUUAUAUUGCUACAACAUCUGUUGCUGCUGAGCUUUGUGAUAAUCAUGAUGCACCUUGCUAUACUAUGUUUUGUCGAUAUGAAACUUUUCCAAAUGCUCAUAUGUCUUACACAAUGCAUCCUGCUGUCACUAACCUUUUGCAGGAGAUUUAUAAUGGGAUGGAGUCGAGGACGACUCCAAUUCAAGAAGGAGAGGAUGAUGAGGACAUCGCUGCAUCGGAUGCGUACACGUUGAAGUCCGACUCGUCUAAAACUUGGACUUCGUUUUCUUCUCGGAUUUCAGAAACAGUCUGCACCAAAAACAACGUCACGGCCACAUACGGAGUCCGUUUGAGGAGAAAUUUAUAUGGUUGGAAAGAUAAUUUCAUAACCUUUCCAACGCCACCAGAUUCAGGUCCAUAUCUUUUCAAAGUCAACAGAAAUUCACGAAACAAAUCGACGUCCAAAAUCUGGAAAGGUGCUGCGCCACCUCUUUUGGGCAAAUGGCCUGUGUAUCGUGUCGGGCCUUAAGCCAAAGUUGAGGGCGCCCACUUCUGGUCACCCCAACCAUAGGUCACCUGGUUCUUCUAUAAACUCAGUAGCCGCCGCCGCUUAGACUCGGGUUUUGUUUAGUUCUUGUUUUUUCCUUCGAGAAACAGAGAUUGAUUCGUUGUAACUGUGGCGACAAGUCCUUUUACAGUGAUUCAGGGCCCCCGUUCUUGAUCUCCUCCACUGUGUCGAUUAGUCCUUUGGAAUCGAGUUCUCGAACCACUCUUGUGAUUCGCUUCAUUCA